RNAcentral lists this ribosomal RNA (252 nucleotides) under uncultured microorganism. RNAcentral's name for it is "partial 16S ribosomal RNA". It matches the Rfam family "Bacterial small subunit ribosomal RNA", at positions 524 to 776 of the family's 1533-position model. The record is from RNAcentral.
UACGUAGGUCCCGAGCGUUGUCCGGAUUUAUUGGGCGUAAAGCGAGCGCAGGUGGUUUAAUAAGUCUGAUGUAAAAGGCAGUGGCUCAACCAGUGUGUGCAUUGGAAACUGUUAGACUUGAGUGCAGUAGAGGAGAGUGGAAUUCCAUGUGUAGCGGUGAAAUGCGUAGAUAUAUGGAGGAACACCGGUGGCGAAAGCGGCUCUCUGGACUGUAACUGACACUGAGGCUCGAAAGCGUGGGUAGCAAACAGG